GUCAAAUAGGAUCAAUGCCUUCUCUCUACCCUGCAAAUUCAUGUCAAACAGGAUUGAUGCCUUUUCCCGACCCUGCGAAUUCAUGUCAAAUAGGAUCAAUGCCUUCUCUCUACCCUGCAAAUUCAUGUCAAACAGGAUUGAUGCCUUCUCCCGACCCUGCGUAUUCAUGUCAAACAGAACCUGAAAAUUCAUGUCAAACAGGAUCCAUGCCUUCUCAUGACCCUGCCAAUUCAUGUCAAACAGGGUCGAUGCCUUA
RNAcentral lists this long non-coding RNA (256 nucleotides) under Trifolium pratense (red clover). RNAcentral describes it as "long non-coding RNA (TPRA_LNC001280)". Lineage: Eukaryota; Viridiplantae; Streptophyta; Magnoliopsida; Fabales; Fabaceae. The record is from RNAcentral.